This 479-nucleotide ribosomal RNA is filed under the name uncultured bacterium. Its description in RNAcentral is "bacterial SSU rRNA". It matches the Rfam family "Bacterial small subunit ribosomal RNA", at positions 28 to 518 of the family's 1533-position model. The record is from RNAcentral.
GAUGAACGCUAGCGGCAGGCCUAACACAUGCAAGUCGAACGGUAACAGAUCUAGCUUGCUAGAUGCUGACGAGUGGCGCACGGGUGCGUAACGCGUAUGCAAUUUACCCCUAACUAGAGAAUAGCCUUUCGAAAGGAAGAAUAAUACUCCAUAAUAUUUCGCUGUGGCAUCACAGCGUUCUUAAAGCUUCGGCGGUUAGGGAUGGGCAUGCGUCCUAUUAGUUUGUUGGUGAGGUAACGGCUCACCAAGACUACGAUAGGUAGGGGGCCUGAGAGGGUUAUCCCCCACACUGGUACUGAGACACGGACCAGACUCCUACGGGAGGCAGCAGUGAGGAAUAUUGCACAAUGGAGGAAACUCUGAUGCAGCAACGCCGCGUGGAGGAUGACGCAUUUCGGUGUGUAAAACUCCUUUUAUAUGUCAAGAAAAUGACGGUAGCAUAUGAAUAAAGCACCGGCUAACUCCGUGCCAGCAGCCGU